GGGGUUGUGGCUCAGCGGUACAGCGCUCGCCUAUCAAGUGUGGGGGCCCUGGGUUCGAUCCUCAGCACCACA
This 72-nucleotide transfer RNA is filed under the name Marmota monax (woodchuck). RNAcentral's name for it is "tRNA.Asp". Lineage: Eukaryota; Metazoa; Chordata; Mammalia; Rodentia; Sciuridae. The record is from RNAcentral.